UACAGAGGGUGCGAGCGUUGUUCGGAAUUAUUGGGCGUAAAGGGCGCGUAGGCGGUGCGGUAAGUCACCUGUGAAAUCUCCUGGCUCAACUGGGAGCUUGCAGGCGAAACUGCCGUGCUGGAGUGUGGGAGAGGUGCGUGGAAUUCCUGGUGUAGCGGUGAAAUGCGUAGAUAUCAGGAGGAACACCUGUGGCGAAAGCGGCGCACUGGACCACAACUGACGCUGAGGCGCGAAAGCUAGGGGAGCAGACAGG
RNAcentral lists this ribosomal RNA (253 nucleotides) under uncultured bacterium. RNAcentral's name for it is "partial 16S ribosomal RNA". It matches the Rfam family "Bacterial small subunit ribosomal RNA", at positions 524 to 776 of the family's 1533-position model. The record is from RNAcentral.